AGUGAACGCUGGCGGUAGGCCUAACACAUGCGAGUCGAACGGCAGCACAGUAAGAGCUUGCUCUUACGGGUGGCGAGUGGCGGACGGGUGAGGAAUACAUCGGAAUCUACUUUUUCGUGGGGGAUAACGUAGGGAAACUUACGCUAAUACCGCAUACGACCUACGGGUGAAAGCAGGGGAUCUUCGGACCUUGCGCGAUUGAAUGAGCCGAUGUCGGAUUAGCUAGUUGGCGGGGUAAAGGCCCACCAAGGCGACGAUCCGUAGCUGGUCUGAGAGGAUGAUCAGCCACACUGGAACUGAGACACGGUCCAGACUCCUACGGGAGGCAGCAGUGGGGAAUAUUGGACAAUGGGCGCAAGCCUGAUCCAGCAAUACCGCGUGGGUGAAGAAGGCCUUCGGGUUGUAAAGCCCUUUUGUUGGGAAAGAAAAGCAGCAGGUUAAUACCCCGCUGUUCUGACGGUACCCAAAGAAUAAGCACCGGCUAACUUCGUG
RNAcentral lists this ribosomal RNA (492 nucleotides) under uncultured bacterium. RNAcentral describes it as "partial 16S ribosomal RNA". It matches the Rfam family "Bacterial small subunit ribosomal RNA", at positions 29 to 507 of the family's 1533-position model. The record is from RNAcentral.